This 734-nucleotide ribosomal RNA is filed under the name uncultured Streptococcus sp. Its description in RNAcentral is "bacterial SSU rRNA". It matches the Rfam family "Bacterial small subunit ribosomal RNA", at positions 62 to 779 of the family's 1533-position model. The record is from RNAcentral. Lineage: Bacteria; Bacillati; Bacillota; Bacilli; Lactobacillales; Streptococcaceae.
UAGAACGCUGAAGCUUGGUGCUUGCACCGAGCGGAUGAGUUGCGAACGGGUGAGUAACGCGUAGGUAACCUGCCUGGUAGCGGGGGAUAACUAUUGGAAACGAUAGCUAAUACCGCAUAAAAUGGAUUAUCGCAUGAUAAUUCAUUGAAAGGUGCAAAUGCAUCACUACCAGAUGGACCUGCGUUGUAUUAGCUAGUUGGUGGGGUAACGGCUCACCAAGGCGACGAUACAUAGCCGACCUGAGAGGGUGAUCGGCCACACUGGGACUGAGACACGGCCCAGACUCCUACGGGAGGCAGCAGUAGGGAAUCUUCGGCAAUGGACGGAAGUCUGACCGAGCAACGCCGCGUGAGUGAAGAAGGUUUUCGGAUCGUAAAGCUCUGUUGUAAGAGAAGAACGAGUGCGAGAGUGGAAAGUUCACACUGUGACGGUAUCUUACCAGAAAGGGACGGCUAACUACGUGCCAGCAGCCGCGGUAAUACGUAGGUCCCGAGCGUUGUCCGGAUUUAUUGGGCGUAAAGCGAGCGCAGGCGGUUAGAUAAGUCUGAAGUCAAAGGCUGUGGCUUAACCAUAGUACGCUUUGGAAACUGUUUAACUUGAGUGCAAGAGGGGAGAGUGGAAUUCCAUGUGUGGCGGUGAAAUGCGUAGAUAUAUGGAGGAACACCGGUGGCGAAAGCGGCUCUCUGGCUUGUAACUGACGCUGAGGCUCGAAAGCGUGGGGAGCAAACAGGAUU